Molecule: ribosomal RNA, 483 nt
Filed under: uncultured bacterium
Lineage: Bacteria
Description: partial 16S ribosomal RNA
Rfam family: Bacterial small subunit ribosomal RNA
Source: RNAcentral
AUUGAACGCUGGCGGCAGGCCUAACACAUGCAAGUCGAGCGGAUGGAGGGAGCUUGCUCCUGGAUUCAGCGGCGGACGGGUGAGUAAUGCCUAGGAAUCUGCCUGGUAGUGGGGGAUAACGUCCGGAAACGGGCGCUAAUACCGCAUACGUCCUGAGGGAGAAAGUGGGGGAUCUUCGGACCUCACGCUAUCAGAUGAGCCUAGGUCGGAUUAGCUAGUUGGUGGGGUAAAGGCCUACCAAGGCGACGAUCCGUAACUGGUCUGAGAGGAUGAUCAGUCACACUGGAACUGAGACACGGUCCAGACUCCUACGGGAGGCAGCAGUGGGGAAUAUUGGACAAUGGGCGAAAGCCUGAUCCAGCCAUGCCGCGUGUGUGAAGAAGGUCUUCGGAUUGUAAAGCACUUUAAGUUGGAGGAAGGGCAGUAAGUUAAUACCUUGCUGUUUUGACGUUACCAACAGAAUAAGCACCGGCUAACUUCGUG